UACGUAGGGUGCAAGCGUUAAUCGGAAUUACUGGGCGUAAAGCGUGCGCAGGCGGUUAUGCAAGACAGAGGUGAAAUCCCCGGGCUCAACCUGGGAACUGCCUUUGUGACUGCAUAGCUAGAGUACGGCAGAGGGGGAUGGAAUUCCGCGUGUAGCAGUGAAAUGCGUAGAUAUGCGGAGGAACACCAAUGGCGAAGGCAAUCCCCUGGGCCUGUACUGACGCUCAUGCACGAAAGCGUGGGGAGCAAACAGG
RNAcentral lists this ribosomal RNA (253 nucleotides) under uncultured bacterium. RNAcentral describes it as "partial 16S ribosomal RNA". It matches the Rfam family "Bacterial small subunit ribosomal RNA", at positions 524 to 776 of the family's 1533-position model. The record is from RNAcentral.